UAACUGCCUUUUAAAGUUGAGGCUGGUUGUGAGUCCCCCCCCAUCCCUGGCUCCUCAGAUUUGGGGAAAUUUUACUCCAUCUCUCAAACAAGAAGAUAAUCUCUGCUCAACCCGCCUCCCAUGUGGUUUUGUAUAUUCAAAUGAGAUGAUGAUUCCGUGAGGCUUCCUGUUCUCUGGCUGCCCUCCGCAACCUGAAAGAAUCGGGAGCUGAUAAGUAACUUCAGGCACUGGACUACAGGCCCUUGUAGACACCGGCUCCUUGGGUACCACCAGCUUGGAGAGAGGAGUGGCUUAAGGAAAUGCUGAUAGAAUUGUUAUUCUGUGCAUAAGCAUUCAUUUCCCUAUUUCUCCCUCUAUUCUGCUAUGAGUGGUUUUUGUUUUGUUUUGUUUUGUUUUGUUUUUUGUCAUUAAAUUUUCUUAAAGUUAUUGACUCC
RNAcentral lists this long non-coding RNA (434 nucleotides) under Mustela putorius furo (domestic ferret). RNAcentral's name for it is "lncRNA (ENSMPUG00000028484.1)". The record is from RNAcentral. Lineage: Eukaryota; Metazoa; Chordata; Mammalia; Carnivora; Mustelidae.